Molecule: unclassified non-coding RNA, 283 nt
Filed under: Hevea brasiliensis (rubber tree)
Lineage: Eukaryota; Viridiplantae; Streptophyta; Magnoliopsida; Malpighiales; Euphorbiaceae
Source: RNAcentral
GGCCCUGGCCAAGGGGGACCUAGGCGCCGUACAGGGCUAGAACUCCCGUUUCGUGACAAAGUGGUAUCAGAUCAGGCCCUAGAUGAUCCGAAUCACGCUAAGCGCCCCAACGAGACGGGAUUAGGCAGGGUGCCGAUAGCCUACGAAGCACGGAAACGGCACUGGGUCACGUUUCCCAGUAUCCAAAACGUUUCCAUGAGGAAACGACCUGACACGGCUGGAAAACGUUUUCGGGCUGUUUCCGAAAUUAUUGGAAAUAGGAAACGCGUUUCUUUAAAGAAAA